UACAGAGGGUGCAAGCGUUAAUCGGAAUUACUGGGCGUAAAGCGUGCGUAGACGGUUAUGUAAGUCGGGUGUGAAAGCCCCGGGCUCAACCUGGGAAUUGCAUUCGAGACUGUGUAGCUAGGGUACGGAAGAGGGAAGCGGAAUUUCAGGUGUAGCGGUGAAAUGCGUAGAUAUCUGGAGGAACACCGGUGGCGAAGGCGGCAUCCUGGACCAACACUGACACUGAGGAGCGAAAGCCAGGGGAGCAAACGGG
This 253-nucleotide ribosomal RNA is filed under the name uncultured bacterium. Its description in RNAcentral is "partial 16S ribosomal RNA". It matches the Rfam family "Bacterial small subunit ribosomal RNA", at positions 524 to 776 of the family's 1533-position model. The record is from RNAcentral.